RNAcentral lists this ribosomal RNA (228 nucleotides) under Triticum aestivum (bread wheat). RNAcentral describes it as "partial small subunit ribosomal RNA". Lineage: Eukaryota; Viridiplantae; Streptophyta; Magnoliopsida; Poales; Poaceae. The record is from RNAcentral.
AUGAACGUUUUAGCCUGGAACUAUCGAGGACUGGGGUUGGACUCGACAGUGGGCGAACUCCGUGACCUGAUUAGGUCCCACAACCCAGCGGUGGUGUUCUUAAGUGAGACGAAGAAGAAGGCAAGGGCUAUGGAAAAGUUGAAAUGGAGUUUGGGCUUCAGAUGUGGUGUUGCUGUUAACUGUCAAGGGCUAAGUGGUGGUUUAGCUUUGUGGUGGAGGGAUCAUCUU